Molecule: long non-coding RNA, 2313 nt
Filed under: Bemisia tabaci
Lineage: Eukaryota; Metazoa; Arthropoda; Insecta; Hemiptera; Aleyrodidae
Description: lncRNA ENSSSA3NGG008199
Source: RNAcentral
AUGUUACAUUUGUUCCUCAUCGAGAGUCUCAGCUCUCGGCUCGAUGUCAAUUUUAAUUUUGAAAAUCUCCCAAGUGUCAGUUUUUCGUUUAGUUUCAAUAAUGAAACUAAGUUAGCGCUAAAAGCAGAAACAAAUUCAGACCUAACCGGAGGAAAGUUUCAUUUUAAGUGUGCAACCAACUUGCUACCUCAUCCUCACCAAAACACAACGUUUGAUUUAUGGGUAACGCCAAAAGGAGAUGUAACAACAUUUACGUACACUCGAGUGAAUCAAAAGACAAGCAAGACACGUUCUGGUUUCUUUGCAUUUUCUCUACUUCGUUCUGUUAUUCUGAUUGAAAACCCACGUUCAAGUGAAACAUUGAAAUUCCACCUUGACUACAAUUUCAAGGGAGUAAAUAAGUCCAUUUCACUCCAUGCUCGCAAUGGAACAAAGUUCCUUGACUUGGAUGGUAGUGUAUUAACAGGCCCUUCAUCAUUUGACUUGAAACUUCUGCGAGUCUCAGACAAAAAACGUAGCACCUUAAAUGCUAAAUGCAAUGUUUCAGAGGGAAUGGAUCUCUUGUUCUCAUUUGCCGCAAACUCUACUGAUCUUUUCAAACUAAAAGUGUUCGUUGAUAGUUUUUCAAAAGUCGAUGCUGUUUUUAGUACCUCUCUGUCACUUUUAAAGAGUCUGCCUUCUCUUGUAGAGCUCAAUUAUGAUCUUACACAGCAAAAGAAAGUGUUUGUGGUGUCAGCCAAACACAAAGGAUCUAGUCAUGUCAUAAAUACAAUGAUUGACAAAGGUGAUUUUGACGGCCAUCUUGCUUUAAAUAUCUCCAGUCCAUUGUUACCUGGGGUGAGAAAAAUUAGUUUUGCAUCUAAUUAUAAUUUUUCGGACUUCUCAAAAGUGGAAUUGAACUCAGUAAUGGCUGCUGACUCUUUGAAAGGAAAUUUUUCUUUAAAAUCAAACUUGGAGAGUACUCUGUCUUUAUCUAUCCUGGCAGUAUCUUCCGUCAAGAAUCAUAAGAGCUUUCCUAUGGGUAUCAACUUAUCAGCAGAUUUUUCCAUUGAUAAUAAAACUGUCACUUUAAGUGUCUCUAAUCCUAGUCAAAAUGUGAAAGAUGAUUAUUCAGCGCACCUUUACUUCCAAAAUCUCACCGCUGAAAACAGAUUGAUCUGGAAACAAAAUGACGAAAUGCGUUUUAUGACAUCAUUAUCCUAUGAUUUUUCCUCAAAGCGAGAGUUCGCUUUUAGUCAGAAGAAAGAUUUGGUGCCUCUACAAGAAUUAAAUUUCAAUUUAACUAAUGUGCAAAACGGGAGUAUGUCACUUCUAAACAUCUGGAAUAUAAGUAGUUUCGAAUUGAGCUAUGAUCUCUUGAAAAUUGAUUCGAUAAACCUUAAAAUGAAUUAUCUGAGCCAAAAAUUUAACUGUCAAGUUUCGUCCUCAUUACUUUUUGCACAUUCAUCGCUGGAUUCAUCCUUGUCAUUCCUUUGGAACAACUCUGGCACUGACUCAGCUAUCUCCCUCCAAGAGCCCUUCAAACUAAAUAGCCGAACCCAGCUAAGUUUUGACGUGAAAAAAAGUUUUGUUAGAUCAGUUUUAUCUAUCUCUGAAAUGGACUAUUUUAACCUCUCUUACUCUCAUGAUCUGAUCGGACCAGAAGAAUUUGGAAUGUCAGAUGUAAUAGACCUAUUACUCUAUCAAGGUACCGGUGGUCCAGGAUUGGUCAAAAGUGAGAUAGCUCUCUCCGAGAAAUUCUGGAGCACUGACUUGAAAGUAGAUGCUGAAUUGCGAGUAAAUCAAAUAACUGCUGAUCUGGACAGUAACCUCCUUGGUAGCAGUCUGAAGUUUAAUGUGUAUAUGGAAGGAGAACCUAAGAUUGUAGGGGCUUUGACUUUCAACUAUAAUGAAUCUCUGAACCGUUUGCUUCUAUCAUCCACUAUCAAUCUGAGUAUAACCACAAGUUCAGCAUUCAAGUUAACUCUACCGGAGCCCAGCCAUCUAAAGAAAUACUCCAGUUUCUCAUGGGAUGAUGAUGUUUUGUUUCUUAAUUUCACGUUUGAUCUGAACAUUGAUCGAAGCACAAUCAAUGCUGCUGUGAAAAGUAGUCAUUUUCAGGACAUGAGUGUUAUGCUCAACUAUGAUAUCAGGUCGGAAAGUAAAUUAGCAAGACUAGCUACGAAGGUUGGUUCAAGCGCGUAUGUCUUGAAAGCACAGUCCACCUCCACGCCGACAAACCAAACACUUCUGCUAAGGUUCAAGUCUCCCAUUGAGAAUUAUUCUUUGCUUCAGCUUUCAGCUGAGCUCUCGUCUUUUGUUGAUGGACACUAG